This 268-nucleotide ribosomal RNA is filed under the name uncultured bacterium. RNAcentral's name for it is "partial 16S ribosomal RNA". The record is from RNAcentral.
CUGCUGCCUCCCGUAGAAGUCUGGGCCGUGUCUCAGUCCCAGUGUGGGGGGCCUUCCUCUCAGAACCCCUACGCAUCGUCGCCACGGUGGGCCGUCACCCCGCCGUCUAGCUAAUGCGCCGCAUGCCCAUCCGCCACCGGAUCGCUCCUUUGGCCACCGGAGGAUGCCCUCCGGUGGCGUCACGGGGUAUUAGGCCGCGUUUCCGCGGGUUAUCCCCCUGUGGCGGCCAGGUUGCAUACGUGUUACUCACCCGUGCGCCGGUCGCCGG